This 327-nucleotide ribosomal RNA is filed under the name uncultured eukaryote. Its description in RNAcentral is "partial 18S ribosomal RNA". It matches the Rfam family "Eukaryotic small subunit ribosomal RNA", at positions 1470 to 1796 of the family's 1831-position model. The record is from RNAcentral.
CCCUUAGAUGUUCUGGGCUGCACGCGCGCUACACUGAAGCGUUCAACGAGUAUUCACCUUGCCCGGGAGGGUUGGGUAAUCUUUUGAAAACGCUUCGUGAUAGGGAUAGAUUAUUGAAAUUAUUAAUCUUGAACGAGGAAUUCCUAGUAAACGCAGAUCAUCAAUCUGCAUUGAUUACGUCCCUGCCCUUUGUACACACCGCCCGUCGCACCUACCGAUUGGAUGGUCCGGUGAAGCCUCGGGAUUGUGGUUCUUGCCGCUUUAUUGUGGCGUGACCGCGAGAACUUGUCUAAACCUUAUCAUCUAGAGGAAGGUGAAGUCGUAACA